RNAcentral lists this ribosomal RNA (459 nucleotides) under uncultured bacterium. RNAcentral's name for it is "SSU rRNA". It matches the Rfam family "Bacterial small subunit ribosomal RNA", at positions 26 to 518 of the family's 1533-position model. The record is from RNAcentral.
AGAAUCAACGCUGGCGGCGUGCCUAACACAUGCAAGUCGAACGAGAAAGUGGAGCAAUCCAUGAGUAAAGUGGCGCACGGGUGAGUAACACGUGACUAACCUACCCUUGAGUGGGGGAUAACCUAGAGAAAUCUGGGCUAAUACCGCAUAAUACCUUCGGGUCAAAGGAGCAAUUCGCUUAAGGAGGGGGUCGCGGCCGAUUAGUUAGUUGGCGGGGUAAUGGCCCACCAAGACUAUGAUCGGUAUCCGGCCUGAGAGGGCGCACGGACACACUGGAACUGAAACACGGUCCAGACUCCUACGGGAGGCAGCAGUGGGAAUUUUGCGCAAUGGGGGAAACCCUGACGCAGCAACGCCGCGUGGAGGAUGAAGUCCCUUGGGACGUAAACUCCUUUCGAUCGGGACGAUAAUGACGGUACCGAGAGAAGAACGCCCGGCUAACUUCGCGCCAGCAGCCGC